RNAcentral lists this ribosomal RNA (1511 nucleotides) under human gut metagenome. RNAcentral describes it as "bacterial LSU rRNA". It matches the Rfam family "Bacterial large subunit ribosomal RNA", at positions 942 to 2480 of the family's 2925-position model. The record is from RNAcentral.
AAGAAUAUCAAACUCCGAAUGCCGCGUAAUCGAUUAUCGGGAGUCAGACUGCACGAGAUAAGUUGGGCGGUCAAAAGGGAAAGAGCCCAGACCUUCAGUUAAGGUCCCCAAGUGCGCGUUAAGUGGAAAAGGAUGUGGGAUUUCGAAGACAACCAGGAUGUUGGCUCAGAAGCAGCCAUCCAUUCAAAGAGUGCGUAAUAGCUCACUGGUCGAGAGGUCCUGCGCCGAAAAUGUCCGGGGCUGAAACGCGCCACCGAAACUAAGGAACCGAAAGGUUGGUAGAGGAGCAUUGCAUGCGGGAAGAAGCAGUACCGAAAGGAGCUGUGGACUGCAUGGAAGAGAGAAUGCCGGAAUGAGUAGCGAGAAUAAGGUGAGAAUCCUUAUGGCCGAAUAUCCAAGGUUUCCAGAGUAAAGCUGAUCUGCUCUGGGUAAGUCGGGGCCUAAGGCGAGGACGAGAGUCGUAGCCGAUGGACAACAGGUGGAGAUUCCUGUACUGCGGUAUGACAGAACUGUGGGGACACGUAAGGAAAGCGGAAGCCGGGAAUGGAAAGCCCGGUGCAAGCGGGGUACCAGUCACUUUGGCAAAUCCGGGUGGCAAUGGGAAGCCGUGAUGCGGAGCGAAAUAAAGUAGUGAAGUCCGUGAGCCAUGCGUCAAGAAAAGCCGCUAUUGUUUAUACCGUACCCGUACCGUAAACCGACACAGGUGGAUGAGGAGAGAAUCCUAAGGCCGGCGGAAGAAGCAUUGUCAAGGAACUCGGCAAAAUGGCCCCGUAACUUAGGGAUAAGGGGUGCCUGGGAAACCAGGCCGCAGAGAAUAGGCUCAAGCAACUGUUUAGCAAAAACACAGGUCUAUGCGAAACCGAAAGGUGAGGUAUAUGGGCUGACGCCUGCCCGGUGCUGGAAGGUUAAGAGGAGAGGUUAGCGGUAACGCGAAGCUUUGAAUUUAAGCCCCAGUAAACGGCGGCCGUAACUAUAACGGUCCUAAGGUAGCGAAAUUCCUUGUCGGGUAAGUUCCGACCCGCACGAAAGGCGUAAUGAUUUGAGCGCUGUCUCGACAAUGCAUCCGGUGAAAUUGAAGUACCAGUGAAGAUGCUGGUUACCUGCGCCAGGACGGAAAGACCCCAUGGAGCUUUACUCCAGUCUGGUACUGGGACUCGGUAUUGCAUGUACAGGAUAGGUGGGAGGCUAGGAGAUGGUAACGCCAGUUGCCAUGGAGCCGCUGUUGGGAUACCACCCUUGCAGUAUUGGGUUUCUAACCAGCCGCCGUGACCCGGCGGUGGGACAAUGCCAGACGGGGAGUUUGACUGGGGCGGUCGCCUCCGAAAGGGUAUCGGAGGCGCCCAAAGGUUCCCUCAGAAUGGACGGAAACCAUUCGAAGAGUGCAAAGGCAGAAGGGAGCUUGACUGCGACACCGACGGGUGGAGCAGGUACGAAAGUAGGGCUUAGUGAUCCGGUGGUAUUAAGUGGGAAUGCCAUCGCUCAACGGAUAAAAGCUACCCUGGGGAUAACAG